Molecule: long non-coding RNA, 729 nt
Filed under: Mytilus galloprovincialis (Mediterranean mussel)
Lineage: Eukaryota; Metazoa; Mollusca; Bivalvia; Mytilida; Mytilidae
Source: RNAcentral
AUAUAGUUACGAUACUGUUGUCAGGUCAUUAAAGAUUGCAUAUUUUAGCGUUAAUAUUGAUUCACUUAUAGGGUCUUUGCAUCGGAACUAAACACAUUUAUUCAAAAACCAGUUGUUGGCAUGACACGGGUUAUGUUCUUCUCAUAUAUGUUAUGAUGGUAUGAUACUAAACCCCUAACGGGAAGGAUUGUGCCUGAUGUUCAUAUGAUGAAAUCAUAAUCUUUCAGUCAGUUCAAUUGAAGUCUGGAGCUGGCAUGUCAGUUAACUGCUAGUAGUCUGUUGUUAUUUAUGUAUUAUUGUCAUUUUGUUUAUUUUCUUUGGUUACAUCUUCUGACAUCAGACUCGGACUUCUCUUGAACUGAAUUUUAAUGUGCGUAUUGUUAUGCGUUUACUUUUCUACAUUGGCUAGAGGUAAAGGGGGAGGGUUGAGAUCUCACAAACAUGUUUAACCCCGCCGCAUUUUUGCGCCUGUCCCAAGUCAGAAGCCUCUGGCCUUUGUUAGUCAUGUAUUAUUUUAAUUUUAUUUCAUGUGUACAAUUUGGAAAUUAGUAUGGCGUUCAUUAUCACUGAACUGGUAUAUAUUUGUUUAGGGGCCAGCUGAAGGACGCCUCCGGGUGCGGGAAUUUCUCGCUACAUUGAAGACCUGUUGAUGGCCUUCUGCUGGUUUUUUUUUCUAUGGUCGGGUUGUUGUCUCUUUGGCACAUUCCCCAUUUCCAUUCUCAAUUUUAU